RNAcentral lists this ribosomal RNA (890 nucleotides) under Bacillus licheniformis. Its description in RNAcentral is "bacterial SSU rRNA". It matches the Rfam family "Bacterial small subunit ribosomal RNA", at positions 57 to 927 of the family's 1533-position model. The record is from RNAcentral. Lineage: Bacteria; Bacillati; Bacillota; Bacilli; Caryophanales; Bacillaceae.
GCAAGUCGAGCGGACAGAUGGGAGCUUGCUCCCUGAUGUUAGCGGCGGACGGGUGAGUAACACGUGGGUAACCUGCCUGUAAGACUGGGAUAACUCCGGGAAACCGGGGCUAAUACCGGAUGCUUGAUUGAACCGCAUGGUUCAAUUAUAAAAGGUGGCUUUUAGCUACCACUUACAGAUGGACCCGCGGCGCAUUAGCUAGUUGGUGAGGUAACGGCUCACCAAGGCGACGAUGCGUAGCCGACCUGAGAGGGUGAUCGGCCACACUGGGACUGAGACACGGCCCAGACUCCUACGGGAGGCAGCAGUAGGGAAUCUUCCGCAAUGGACGAAAGUCUGACGGAGCAACGCCGCGUGAGUGAUGAAGGUUUUCGGAUCGUAAAACUCUGUUGUUAGGGAAGAACAAGUACCGUUCGAAUAGGGCGGUACCUUGACGGUACCUAACCAGAAAGCCACGGCUAACUACGUGCCAGCAGCCGCGGUAAUACGUAGGUGGCAAGCGUUGUCCGGAAUUAUUGGGCGUAAAGCGCGCGCAGGCGGUUUCUUAAGUCUGAUGUGAAAGCCCCCGGCUCAACCGGGGAGGGUCAUUGGAAACUGGGGAACUUGAGUGCAGAAGAGGAGAGUGGAAUUCCACGUGUAGCGGUGAAAUGCGUAGAGAUGUGGAGGAACACCAGUGGCGAAGGCGACUCUCUGGUCUGUAACUGACGCUGAGGCGCGAAAGCGUGGGGAGCGAACAGGAUUAGAUACCCUGGUAGUCCACGCCGUAAACGAUGAGUGCUAAGUGUUAGAGGGUUUCCGCCCUUUAGUGCUGCAGCAAACGCAUUAAGCACUCCGCCUGGGGAGUACGGUCGCAAGACUGAAACUCAAAGGAAUUGACGGGGGCCCGCACA